This 230-nucleotide ribosomal RNA is filed under the name uncultured microorganism. RNAcentral's name for it is "partial 16S ribosomal RNA". It matches the Rfam family "Bacterial small subunit ribosomal RNA", at positions 524 to 753 of the family's 1533-position model. The record is from RNAcentral.
UACGGAGGGUGCAAGCGUUAAUCGGAAUUACUGGGCGUAAAGCGCGCGUAGGCGGCUUGUCACGCCGGGUGUGAAAGCCCCGGGCUCAACCUGGGAACGGCAUCCGGAACGGGCAGGCUAGAGUGCAGGAGAGGAAGGUAGAAUUCCCGGUGUAGCGGUGAAAUGCGUAGAGAUCGGGAGGAAUACCAGUGGCGAAGGCGGCCUUCUGGACUGACACUGACGCUGAGGUG